Molecule: ribosomal RNA, 253 nt
Filed under: uncultured bacterium
Lineage: Bacteria
Description: partial 16S ribosomal RNA
Rfam family: Bacterial small subunit ribosomal RNA
Source: RNAcentral
UACGUAGGUGACCAGCGUUGUCCGGAUUUACUGGGCGUAAAGAGCGCGCAGGCGGUCGUUCAAGUCGAGUGUGAAAGCCCCCGGCUCAACUGGGGAGGGUCACUCGAUACUGAUCGACUUGAAGGCAGGAGAGGGAAGCGGAAUUCCCGGUGUAGUGGUGAAAUGCGUAGAUAUCGGGAGGAACACCAGUGGCGAAGGCGGCUUCCUGGCCUGUUCUUGACGCUGAGGAGCGAAAGCGUGGGUAGCAAACAGG